RNAcentral lists this ribosomal RNA (340 nucleotides) under Mesosa myops. RNAcentral's name for it is "SSU rRNA". It matches the Rfam family "Eukaryotic small subunit ribosomal RNA", at positions 583 to 885 of the family's 1831-position model. The record is from RNAcentral. Lineage: Eukaryota; Metazoa; Arthropoda; Insecta; Coleoptera; Cerambycidae. RNAcentral also lists the same sequence under 3 other names.
UUCCAGCUCCAAUAGCGUAUAUUAAAGUUGUUGCGGUUAAAAAGCUCGUAGUCGAAUCUGUGUCCCGCGUCGCCGGUUCAUCGUCCGCGGUGUUAACUGGCGUACCGCGGGACGUCCUGCCGGUGGGCUUAGCUCGCAAGGGCGGCCCAACUCAAUCCCGCCGCGGUGCUCUUCACUGAGUGUCGAGGUGGGCCGGCACGUUUACUUUGAACAAAUUAGAGUGCUUAAAGCAGGCUAAAACUUCGCCUGAAUACUGUGUGCAUGGAAUAAUGGAAUAGGACCUCGGUUCUAUUUUGUUGGUUUUCGGAACCCCGAGGUAAUGAUUAAUAGGAACGGAUGG